This 250-nucleotide long non-coding RNA is filed under the name Lathyrus oleraceus (garden pea). RNAcentral's name for it is "Pisum sativum (pea) long non-coding RNA (PSAT_LNC012826)". The record is from RNAcentral. Lineage: Eukaryota; Viridiplantae; Streptophyta; Magnoliopsida; Fabales; Fabaceae.
GAAGAGCAAGGGCAAAGGUUGGAGAAGAGAAAAGCUUGGAGCUUAGAGAUUGCCGGAUUAACUCAGGUAAGGGGGGUUUAUCGUCGUUUAAUGGGUAUUAUGGAUUAGCAUGUAAUGGGUAGUGAUAAACCGUUGAAUUGACCCUAAUUGGGAUUGUGAAUGCUGAAAAUUACGUUGGAUAAACUGUGUUAAAAACUGUAAUUGAAUCGAUAGUCGUGUGAGUCGUAAUUUGCUGGACGUAUAGCUUGUU